UACGUAGGAGGCGAGCGUUGUCCGGAAUCACUGGGCGUAAAGGGCGCGUAGGCGGCCUGGCAAGUGGAAGGUGAAAUCCCUCGGCUUAACCGAGGAACUGCCCUCCAAACUGCUUGGCUUGAGUCCGGGAGAGGUGAGUGGAAUUCCCAGUGUAGCGGUGAAAUGCGUAGAUAUUGGGAGGAACACCAGUGGCGAAGGCGGCUCACUGGACCGGAACUGACGCUGAGGCGCGAAAGCGUGGGGAGCAAACGGG
This 253-nucleotide ribosomal RNA is filed under the name uncultured bacterium. RNAcentral's name for it is "partial 16S ribosomal RNA". It matches the Rfam family "Bacterial small subunit ribosomal RNA", at positions 524 to 776 of the family's 1533-position model. The record is from RNAcentral.